This 405-nucleotide ribosomal RNA is filed under the name uncultured bacterium. Its description in RNAcentral is "partial 16S ribosomal RNA". It matches the Rfam family "Bacterial small subunit ribosomal RNA", at positions 361 to 774 of the family's 1533-position model. The record is from RNAcentral.
AUAUUGCGCAAUGGGCGAAAGCCUGAUGCAGCGACGCCGCGUGAGGUAUGACGGCCUUCGGGUUGUAAACCUCUUUCAUUAGGGAUGAAUCCUUUCGGGGUGACGGUACCUGCAGAAGAAGCGCCGUCCAACUUCUUUCCAACAGCCGCGGUAAUACGUAGGGCUCAAGCGUUGUCCGGUAUUAUUGGGCGUAAAGAGCUCGUAGGCGGCUUGUCGCGUCUGCUGUGAAAACGCAAGGCUUAACCUUGCGCCUGCAGUGGGUACGGGCAGGCUAGAGUGCGGUAGGGGAGACUGGAAUUCCUGGUGUAGCGGUGGAAUGCGCAGAUAUCAGGAGGAACACCGGUGGCGAAGGCGGGUCUCUGGGCCGUUACUGACGCUGAGGAGCGAAAGCAUGGGGAGCGAACA